Molecule: ribosomal RNA, 478 nt
Filed under: uncultured bacterium
Lineage: Bacteria
Description: partial 16S ribosomal RNA
Rfam family: Bacterial small subunit ribosomal RNA
Source: RNAcentral
GACGAACGCUGGCGGCGUGCUUAACACAUUCAAGUCGAACGGUAAGGCCCUUCGGGGUACACGAGUGGCCAACGGGGGAGUACCACGUCGGUGAUCUGCCCUGCACUUCGGGCUAAACCUGGGAAACCUGGGCUAAUACCGGAUAGGACUCCGGACUGCAUGGUCACGUGUGGAACGCUUUUGCGGUGUGGGAUGGGCCCGCGGCCUAUCACCUUGUUGGUGGGGUGCUGGACUACCAAGGCGACGACGGGUAGCCGGCCUGAGAGGGUGACCGGCCACACUGGGACUGAGAUACGGCCCAGACUACUACGGGAGGCAGCAGUGGGGAAUAUUGCACAAUGGGCGCAAGCCUGAUGCAGCGACUCCGCGUGAGGGAUGGCGGCCUUCGGGUUGUAAACCUCUUUCAGCAUCGACGAAGCGUAAGUGACGGUAGGUGCAGAAGAAGGACCGGCCAACUACGUGCCAGCCGCCGCCGUAA